AGCCAGUACAGCCCAUAGUCUCCAAUGCGAUGGUUCUCAAAUAUAUCCUUGUGGCAACUCUGAUGCUGACUCUAGUAAAUUGUGGCUACAUUAAGUGGGAUACCCCCGUUACAAUUUGCCAUGUGAUUGGACGAUGCCAAGAACCAGAUGGAGAAUAUUGCCGUGGACGCCUACUCGAAGAUAGAAAAUGUGGUAUAAAUCGUUGCUGCCUACGUAAAUAUGAGGCAAAAAAA
Molecule: small RNA, 233 nt
Filed under: Drosophila pseudoobscura pseudoobscura
Lineage: Eukaryota; Metazoa; Arthropoda; Insecta; Diptera; Drosophilidae
Description: GA31923
Source: RNAcentral